Molecule: long non-coding RNA, 426 nt
Organism: Prosopis cineraria
Lineage: Eukaryota; Viridiplantae; Streptophyta; Magnoliopsida; Fabales; Fabaceae
Exons: 3
Source: RefSeq, a predicted model, not a curated record
GCCACCUCCAAGCUCCGUCGCAGCUCCUCCAUGUGCCGCUGGUCUUCUUCCAACCAUCUUCCAUAUUCCAUGUCAAAUAUUGCAGCACCUGUAUGUCCAUAUAUCGCCCACAAUCUUCUUAUUACUAAUUACUUGUCAUCACGAAGAUGUGGUUUAUUUGUCGCAUGGAGUCAGAAGAGAGCCAAAAUAGCAGAUUCAAGGAAGGGAGGAAGACAAAGAGAGAAAAUAUUAUACAUGGGCAAUGAUACGCAUGUGCCUCCUACCAUAAUGAUUAAUCUUGUAUGGUUCUAAAAGGUCAAUGAUUAAACUUUUAAAAAGGUGAUUUGGUUCAGAUAGAUUAACAUAAGAGGCUAGCCUUCAUAGGCUGUUGUGUGGAUGUUGAUAAUAUAUAUACCUUGUAUACAGAAUUAACAUGCAAUAUGUUCG